UGUACAAUAGAACUUCCACAAUUUGCAGCUGUAAUAAUUGUAUGCCGCCAUGACUCUUGGGAAAAAUUUUCAUUCAACUGCGACUUGUUCUAAAGCAUCAUAUAACACGUGCGUAUCAGGGAAAAAGAGAAGACAAAAUAAACCGUUAAGAAAUAAUCCUGUUAAAACCUAGGAAGCAGACACAACGAGCUGGAAUGAUGGCAAUCCCACAACGGAAGUCAUUUAGUGCUCAGAUAAGAACUCCAUAAAUUAUCCUAAUCUAAAAUGCCAUAGUAAGUUUAUCAUCUUUCUUUGACUACACUUUCCGGACCUGAAUAUUGUGUGUAGAUUGGAACCGCCAGAUUGGUUGUCUGCCACUCUGAACAAGUGCAACUUCCUCCCCUUCCUUUACCAUCCCUUGAUUCUUGAGCACUGAUAAGGCAUUUGCAAAUGUUUCUUCUGCAUCAUCUGAAAACUGCAUGUAUAUGGGACAAACUCCUUGGUACAAAGCCAAUCUCUGUUGUAUUCUCUUCUCAUUUGUGAAGGCAAAAAUAGUGCCAGAAGGUCGAUAAUGGCUCAGUAAUAUAGACAUGAAGCCAGUCCUGGUGAAGACAACAAUUGAGGUUCCAAGAGUGUUUGACAUCAUGGUUGCAUGAUACGCAAACAUCUCGCUCAUGUGGUUCUUGAACGCUUGACCAAGAUUUGGUGGCAUUGUACCACUAGCUAUGGUUGCUUCAGUUCGUAAUGCAACUGUGUGCAUAACUUUCACAGCUUUCAAUGGGAAUUUUCCAUGAG
Molecule: unclassified non-coding RNA, 774 nt
Filed under: Hevea brasiliensis (rubber tree)
Lineage: Eukaryota; Viridiplantae; Streptophyta; Magnoliopsida; Malpighiales; Euphorbiaceae
Source: RNAcentral